RNAcentral lists this ribosomal RNA (328 nucleotides) under Pseudoalteromonas shioyasakiensis. Its description in RNAcentral is "bacterial SSU rRNA". The record is from RNAcentral. Lineage: Bacteria; Pseudomonadati; Pseudomonadota; Gammaproteobacteria; Alteromonadales; Pseudoalteromonadaceae.
UUAAUUGAAGAGUUUGAUCAUGGCUCAGAUUGAACGCUGGCGGCAGGCCUAACACAUGCAAGUCGAGCGGAAACGAAGRGGUGCUUGCACCUCUGGCGUCGAGCGGCGGACGGGUGAGUAAUGCUUGGGAAUAUGCCUUAUGGUGGGGGACAACAGUUGGAAACGACUGCUAAUACCGCAUAAUGUCUACGGACCAAAGUGGGGGACCUUCGGGCCUCACGCCAUAAGAUUAGCCCAAGUGGGAUUAGCUAGUUGGUGAGGUAAUGGCUCACCAAGGCGACGAUCCCUAGCUGGUUUGAGAGGAUGAUCAGCCACACUGGGACUGAGA